Molecule: ribosomal RNA, 403 nt
Filed under: uncultured bacterium
Lineage: Bacteria
Description: bacterial SSU rRNA
Rfam family: Bacterial small subunit ribosomal RNA
Source: RNAcentral
GACGAACGCUGGCGGCGUGCCUAAUACAUGCAAGUCGAGCGAAUGGAUGGGAGCUUGCUCCCUGAAGUUAGCGGCGGACGGGUGAGUAACACGUGGGCAACCUGCCUAUAAGACUGGGAUAACUUCGGGAAACCGGAGCUAAUACCGGAUAAUUCAUAUCUACUCAUGUAGAUAUGCUGAAAGACGGUUUACGCUGUCACUUAUAGAUGGGCCCGCGGCGCAUUAGCUAGUUGGUGAGGUAACGGCUCACCAAGGCCACGAUGCGUAGCCGACCUGAGAGGGUGAUCGGCCACACUGGGACUGAGACACGGCCCAGACUCCUACGGGAGCAGCAGUAGGGAAUCUUCCGCAAUGGACGAAAGUCUGACGGAGCAACGCCGCGUGAGUGAUGAAGGUUUUCGGA